GCUGGCGGCGUGCCUACACAUGCAAGUCGCACGAGAAAGGGUAGCAAUACCUGAGUAAAGUGGCGUACGGGUGAGUAACACGUGACUAACCUACCCUCGAGUGGGGAAUAACUUCGGGAAACCGAGGCUAAUACCGCAUAAUACCCACGGGUCAAAGGAGCAAUUCGCUUGAGGAGGGGGUCGCGGCCGAUUAGUUAGUUGGCGGGGUAAUGGCCCACCAAGACGAUGAUCGGUAUCCGGCCUGAGAGGGCGCACGGACACACUGGAACUGAAACACGGUCCAGACUCCUACGGGAGGCAGCAGUGGGGAAUUUUGCGCAAUGGGGGAAACCCUGACGCAGCAACGCCGCGUGGAGGAUGAAGUCCUUCGGGACGUAAACUCCUUUCGAUCGGGACGAUUAUGACGGUACCGGAAGAAGAAGCCCCGGCUAACUUCGUGCCAGCAGCCGCGGUAAUACGAGGGGGGCGAGCGUUGUUCGGAAUUAUUGGGCGUAAAGGGUGCGUANGCGGUUUGGUAAGUCUCUUGUGAAAACUCCGGGCUCAACUCGGAGCCUGCAGGAGAAACUGCCGGGCUUGAGUGUGGGAGAGGUGA
RNAcentral lists this ribosomal RNA (592 nucleotides) under uncultured bacterium. RNAcentral describes it as "bacterial SSU rRNA". It matches the Rfam family "Bacterial small subunit ribosomal RNA", at positions 35 to 660 of the family's 1533-position model. The record is from RNAcentral.